Molecule: ribosomal RNA, 402 nt
Filed under: uncultured bacterium
Lineage: Bacteria
Description: partial 16S ribosomal RNA
Rfam family: Bacterial small subunit ribosomal RNA
Source: RNAcentral
UGGGGAAUAUUGGACAAUGGGCGAAAGCCUGAUCCAGCAAUACCGAGUGAGUGAUGAAGGCCCUAGGGUUGUAAAGCUCUUUUAGCAAGGAAGAUAAUGACGUUACUUGCAGAAAAAGCCCCGGCUAACUCCGUGCCAGCAGCCGCGGUAAGACGGAGGGGGCUAGCGUUGUUCGGAAUUACUGGGCGUAAAGAGUGCGUAGGCGGUUUAGUAAGUUGGAAGUGAAAGCCCGGGGCUUAACCUCGGAAUUGCUUUCAAAACUACUAAGCUAGAGUGUAGUAGGGGAUGAUGGAAUUCCUAGUGUAGAGGUGAAAUUCUUAGAUAUUAGGAGGAACACCGGUGGCGAAGGCGGUCAUCUGGGCUACAACUGACGCUGAUGCACGAAAGCGUGGGGAGCAAACA